AGUGAACGCUGGCGGUAGGCCUAACACAUGCAAGUCGAACAGCAGCACAGUAAGAGCUUGCUCUUACGGGUGGCGAGUGGCGGACGGGUGAGGAAUACAUCGGAAUCUACUUUUUCGUGGGGGAUAACGUAGGGAAACUUACGCUAAUACCGCAUACGACCUACGGGUGAAAGCAGGGGAUCUUCGGACCUUGCGCGAUUGAAUGAGCCGAUGUCGGAUUAGCUAGUUGGCGGGGUAAAGGCCCACCAAGGCGACGAUCCGUAGCUGGUCUGAGAGGAUGAUCAGCCACACUGGAACUGAGACACGGUCCAGACUCCUACGGGGGGCAGCAGUGGGGAAUAUUGGACAAUGGGCGCAAGCCUGAUCCAGCCAUACCGCGUGGGUGAAGAAGGCCUUCGGGUUGUAAAGCCCUUUUGUUGGGAAAGAAAAGCAGCAGGUUAAUACCCCGCUGUUCUGACGGUACCCAAAGAAUAAGCACCGGCUAACUUCGUG
Molecule: ribosomal RNA, 492 nt
Filed under: uncultured bacterium
Lineage: Bacteria
Description: partial 16S ribosomal RNA
Rfam family: Bacterial small subunit ribosomal RNA
Source: RNAcentral